CCUACGGGGUGCUGCAGUGAGGAAUAUUGGUCAAUGGACGAGAGUCUGAACCAGCCAAGUAGCGUGAAGGAUGACUGCCCUAUGGGUUGUAAACUUCUUUUAUAUGGGAAUAAAAUGUUCCACGUGUGGGAUUUUGUAUGUACCAUAUGAAUAAGGAUCGGCUAACUCCGUGCCAGCAGCCGCGGUAAUACGGAGGAUCCGAGCGUUAUCCGGAUUUAUUGGGUUUAAAGGGAGCGUAGGUGGAUUGUUAAGUCAGUUGUGAAAGUUUGCGGCUCAACCGUAAAAUUGCAGUUGAAACUGGCAGUCUUGAGUACAAUAGAGGUGGGCGGAAUUCGUGGUGUAGCGGUGAAAUGCUUAGAUAUCACGAAGAACUCCGAUUGCGAAGGCAGUUCACUGGACUGCAACUGACACUGAGGCUCGAAAGUGUGGGUAUCAAACAGGAUUAGAUACCCGAGUAGUC
Molecule: ribosomal RNA, 460 nt
Filed under: uncultured bacterium
Lineage: Bacteria
Description: partial 16S ribosomal RNA
Rfam family: Bacterial small subunit ribosomal RNA
Source: RNAcentral